Molecule: long non-coding RNA, 752 nt
Organism: Xenia sp. Carnegie-2017
Lineage: Eukaryota; Metazoa; Cnidaria; Anthozoa; Malacalcyonacea; Xeniidae
Exons: 2
Source: RefSeq, a predicted model, not a curated record
UCUCAGGAGAAUGGUUGCAACCCACCAAUAAGCAAACAGUGACAGCAUUUCAAUAGAAUAAUACUGCUGAAUUUCAUAUUAAUAACUCUAUUGAACUCAUUAACAAUUCUUUAUGCAUAUGUAUUGUGUAUACAAUAGCAGAAGUGUUCAUGCUCUCUAGCAUUGCUAAACAAUAACUACCUUCACUUGAGAAUUAAGAGAUACAAUGACUUUGAUAAUUCGGCAAUUGGUAAUCUGUGAGUACAGUAAUUAAAGUUUACGCCAGGCAGUCGAAUGCUUCAUUUUGGGUUUCAAUAAUGACGAGGAUGGGACACUGAAGCACGCUGCUGUUUUCAAUUACAAACGUCUUCCAAGACCUUCUCUACCACAUAAGAUGUUGUGUUCCACACACUCACAAAGUUUCCUGGACCUGAUAUACUCAUCAUGUGACCUUCUAGAGGUGAGUAACACAGUUUCUUGACAGCCCCUAUAGAGUCGUCUAGUAUCAUUGCACAUGCGCCAGUCUCUGUCUGCCAUAUUCUAAUUGUUGUGUCGUGGGAAGCGCUCGCUAAAUAAUGACCGUCGGGAGAAAAUUUUACAUCGUUAACGGCAUCGCGAUGUCCGAUAAGCGAUGUAAUUUUUGAUCCGUCCACAAAGGCACCGGUUCCCGGUAAAAAUUUUAUUAUUCGUAUUGUUUUGUCGUCUGAGCAUGUUGCUAAGUGCUGACCAGAUGACGAUAUUGCGCAUGCGUUGACAGCUGCAGAAUGAAUUGC